AGUAACAACCUGGAAACAAGAUGCUGAUACCGGAUGACAACAGAUGAUGCCUAUCAACUGUUUAAAAGAUGGUUCUGCUAUCACUCUUGGAUGGACCUGCGGUGCAUUAGCUAGUUGGUAGGGUAACGGCCUACCAAGGCGAUGAUGCAUAGCCGAGUUGAGAGACUGAUCGGCCACAUUGGGACUGAGACACGGCCCAAACUCCUACGGGAGGCAGCAGCC
This 222-nucleotide ribosomal RNA is filed under the name uncultured Lactobacillus sp. RNAcentral's name for it is "partial 16S ribosomal RNA". It matches the Rfam family "Bacterial small subunit ribosomal RNA", at positions 142 to 355 of the family's 1533-position model. Lineage: Bacteria; Bacillati; Bacillota; Bacilli; Lactobacillales; Lactobacillaceae. The record is from RNAcentral.